UCUAACUAGACCCACUUACCACCUUUCUAACUAGACCCACUUAUCACCUUGUUUCUCCUUCCUUCCUGUUAGCUGCCGAAUCUCAACAUCUACUUGUUUCUCCUUCCUUCCGUUUCAAUUGUGGGUUAUAAACCUUUUCCACUUCUGUAUCUCCUAAUUAAAUUAGUAAACCACACGUACAAAACAGUACUGUUAUUGAGGAGCCUAGCCU
This 211-nucleotide long non-coding RNA is filed under the name Panax ginseng (ginseng). RNAcentral's name for it is "long non-coding RNA (PGIN_LNC015966)". The record is from RNAcentral. Lineage: Eukaryota; Viridiplantae; Streptophyta; Magnoliopsida; Apiales; Araliaceae.